RNAcentral lists this ribosomal RNA (509 nucleotides) under uncultured bacterium. RNAcentral describes it as "bacterial SSU rRNA". It matches the Rfam family "Bacterial small subunit ribosomal RNA", at positions 28 to 527 of the family's 1533-position model. The record is from RNAcentral.
GACGAACGCUGGCGGCGUGGAUUAGGCAUGCAAGUCGAACGGUAUCAUCCUUUCGGGGGUGAGAGAGUGGCGAACUGGUGAGUAACACGUAGGUUAUCUACCCUCAAGACGGGGACAACCCAGGGAAACUUGGGCUAAUACCCGGAUGUGAGCAACUUUUAGUUGUUUGAAAGGUGGCGUAAGCUGUCGCUUGGGGAUGAGCCUGCGUCCUAUUAGUUAGUUGGUGAGGUAACGGCUCACCUAGGCAAUGAUAGGUAGGCGGCCUUAACGGGUGGUCGCCCACACUGGGAUUGAGAUACGACCCAGACUCCUACGGGAGGCAGCAGUCGAGAAUAGUCUACAAUGGUCGGAAGACUGAUAGUGCGACGCCGCGUGAACGAUGAAUCCCUUCGGGGUGUAAAGUUCUUUUAUAUGUGAGCAGUGCUUCUUAUAUUAACAGUAUGGGGAGAGAGAUAUUAGCAUAUGAAUAAGCAACGGCUAACUCCGUGCCAGCAGCCGCGGUAAACUCG